UAAUAUCGGCGUCGUUACCGUCGUGCUGCCCACAAAAGGCAUUCCGCUGCCGUUCCUUAGUGCCGGUGGGACCAGCAUGUUGCUUUCCUCUGCGGCGGUUGGGGUCCUGCUGAGUAUCGCCGCCCGGACACCGUCGCGAGGCCUCGCGGUAACCACCAGUACUGACUAAUACUUAGACAAUAUCGGACCUCGAAUGCUUCCUCGCGAUUGUCCCUUGCGGGCUUUGCGCGUGAUUUUUCCACCGCUUUUUGCUACAAUAGGGGCCCGUGCGGG
Molecule: ribosomal RNA, 273 nt
Filed under: uncultured eukaryote
Lineage: Eukaryota
Description: partial small subunit ribosomal RNA
Source: RNAcentral